AACGCACCUUGCGCCUUUUGGUAUUCCGAAAGGCAUGCCUGUUUGAGUGUCAUGAAAUCUCAAUCCCCCCGGGUUUAUGAUCUGGGUCGGACUUGGACAUGGGCGUCUGCCGGUCACACGGCUCGCCUCAAAUGACUUAGUGGAUCUCUCUGCAUCCGUGACAGACGUAAUAAGUUUCGUCUUGUCCCUUGCUAAUGAGUCUGCUCAUAACCUGCCAUCGCGCACUUUUAGACUCUGACCUCAAAUCAGGUAGGACUACCCGCUGAACUUAA
RNAcentral lists this unclassified non-coding RNA (272 nucleotides) under uncultured Papiliotrema. Its description in RNAcentral is "sequence contains ITS2". The stretch from base 1 to 52 matches the Rfam family "5.8S ribosomal RNA", at positions 103 to 154 of the family's 154-position model. The record is from RNAcentral. Lineage: Eukaryota; Fungi; Basidiomycota; Tremellomycetes; Tremellales; Tremellaceae.